This is a long non-coding RNA of Perognathus longimembris pacificus (Pacific pocket mouse), 963 nucleotides long. RefSeq lists it as uncharacterized. Lineage: Eukaryota; Metazoa; Chordata; Mammalia; Rodentia; Heteromyidae. The record is from RefSeq and is a predicted model, not a curated record. The transcript has 2 exons.
AUGUUUACAGGCUGGUCCUUGGGCUGAGCACUGGCUAGAGCCUGGCAAUGCCGCUCUGUCCCACUGUGAGCUUUAGACUAUAGGGUGCACUGGCAAUUGGCGGCUGCAUGUGUGUGGUAGCGGUUGUGCACUGCAGGAGUGCACAUCAUCUUCGGGCCCCCAGCAGACAGGCUGGAGCGCCUUGUUCAAUUUUCUCUGUUUCUUUUUUAAACAAGGACAUUUAUAUUCGAACAUUCAUCACUUCUUCCCCAGAGGAUAACUGAGGGUGAUCUGAGUUUAUUUUCGUCAACCACAAUAGAGCCUGACAGGUACCAACUAUUCUGGCUUUACUAACUGUUCUUCUGAUGUGUCAUUUUUGUGUGUCCUUUCCAGUAUUCCCAUAAGUGCUGCACAUACCCAUGGGGGGGGGGUCGACAUUUAUGAAAAGAUACUAUUUGGUGGCCCUCAUUUCAGUACCUAGCAUCUCCCAAAAGGCAUAGAAAGGAUACUUCUAAAGCAGGAGCUCAUGAAGUUUUAGGGCUUUUCUUAUGCCUUGGGGAUUUAAAAUAAUGCUAUCCUUAGACAGUAACCUGGGUGAAUGCAAAGGCUGGACUGCAGAGGGUAAGCGUGGAAGGCUACGAUGUGAGCAGGGACUGUGGCUGGGUCAGUCUGGUCUGUGUGAAAAGGGAGGGGUGAAGACAGAUUUCAGCCAAUUGCUCACAUUUGUAGAAAGAUGGAUGCUAACCUAAAAGUCAAAUGAAAGCCGUUAACUCCUUGUAGCAGGAAAGGGAUUAACUCCUUGUGUGGAGGGAUUCAUGUCGCUACUGGGAAGGUGAACCAGAUAACCCAGUGUCUGUCGCUCCCUGGGUCUCAAGGAUGCUGACAGUCUGGACAGAUUUCUCUGUGUAUGUAAGGUGAAACUUCCACAGCAGGUCUACGUGGAGACAGUGGGGGAAAUGAAGCCUGGCGUGAAUCUACGAGACA